RNAcentral lists this long non-coding RNA (453 nucleotides) under Anas platyrhynchos platyrhynchos (common mallard). Its description in RNAcentral is "lncRNA (ENSAPLG00000018762.1)". Lineage: Eukaryota; Metazoa; Chordata; Aves; Anseriformes; Anatidae. The record is from RNAcentral.
CUGAACAAGAAGUUGUAAAAAAUAGCUACUUUUACUAUACAGUAUUUUGUUUAUACCACAAACUAUUAAAAAAAAAAAAAAACAUUUUAACUUUUCUUUUUGUCUUUCUCUAACUUUUCUGUCUUCUUGGAAGUACAGACUCAAAUUAAAUGAGAACAAAUAUGUCACCAUCAUAGAUGAAACCUAAUCCAACACUUGAAGAUUCAUCUCUCAUCUGCCUCAUCUGCCUCAGUUUCGCCUAUGGCUUGCCAAUAGUACUAGAAGAUUUCUGCUUGAAGUCCACUCAACAGAAUUCAAGCAAACUUUCUGCUUUGACUGAGUGAUGUGCUUCUUCUAGAACCUGCAAAGUCAGUGAAGAUGAAAUGAUUUUCAGCUUUAUAUUUCUUGGUACUGCUUGUAUCUUUGGACUUUCAGUCAUAGCAUAAACACGAGAGUAAUUUCAAAUGUAACAAC